AAAAGAAUCACUGUGUGCUGCUGUUACCUGGGGGGGCCUCCGUCUCUUCAUCCCUUCUGCCAUUUCCAUGAAAGAACUGUGUGUACUGACUGCUCUUGUGGCUCAGGUGAUCUCCUCCAAGGAUCUUUCUGACAGAUGAAAGAUACUGAAGAUACCUUACCCAGACAGGACUUUCUAAAACAGAGCGGACUGCUUAUUGCUGAAAGACACUGCAAAUGGAGGCAGCAAAACCCCUCUGCAUGGGACAACAGGUGCACAUGAGACCCCCAGACACACUUCAGAAGAACAAUCUAGUUAGAAAACUGCUGGGGAAAACACUUCUGGUGAAUACCAACAUAUAUCGAAACUACAUGCCAUUGAUGACACUGACCUCACAUUUUAACAAGAAGUCAAAAUGUUUCAUUUACGUUUACUAGCUUAGGAGGGUUUUUUUUGUUGUUGUUGUUUUUAAACUGAGAUUUUUGGAAAAAAACACAACACUUUGCUAUGAAGCAGGAGGAAAAACUUAACCAAACUUCCAUGAAUUUGAACCUUUAGGAGAGUACACAUUAUUAUUUUGGUCCAUGCAACGAGUGAUUUCUUUGACUCUAAAACUGAAGUCAGCUGUAACAGAGAAUGGAGCUCCUUCUAAAGAGUAUACUAAUUUUCAGGGUGCACACUGAAGCUUUUUUAAAUCUCAUCACAUAGUUGACCUUUACCUCUACACAGCUGAUGAAUUACGGAAAAAGAGGAAAAAGAAAAAGAUGUAAAAAAUAUACAUAUGAAUUGUUGUGCACACAGACAUGCACUGGUGCAGGCAUUUGUUUGCUCUUUUAUCUCUAACUCACAAGAUUUUCAAGUCUACUGGGCAUGCCUAAAUCUAUCAUUUUAUUUGAUAGGUACAGCCACAUAAUGAGUGAAGAAUUGUCAUUUAGCAGAGACUUUCUCUGCACCUUGGGAUUCUUUGUGUGUCCAAAUUUGGGAGAUGAGACCUGGAACUGAGCAAGGAAAGAGAUAAAACAUUCCCAGCAGGAAGAGCUGGCAGCAAGGCUUAAAGGACAAUUCAAUGAAAACACCACCAAAUGUAGUGGCAUGCAGAGGAACUCGUGGAACAGUAUUCAGGUGCAGAGAUAUGAGAAGGAACUGAAGUGGAGAAGAAACAUUAAGAUUCACUGAUGUUACUGUUUAGCUAAGGUCAGCGGUAGCACUUGGGAUGUUCUAUUAGUGAUCCUGAAUGAAAAAUGCACAAAUAACAUCAUAUGGUGGCCAGGAAAGAUAUACUUCUCAUUUUCUCCCCAUUGUCAGCAAUAAUAAGAAAAUUAAAACCAAGGAAUAUGCUUGUCUGCAACUGUAUUCUCCCUCUGGGCUAUUUUGAGUAUUCCAUGGAAAUACAGUAGGGCAUUUUUGCCAAACGACUGCUGACCAUCAGUGAUCCUAGUGGCUGAAAGCAUGCAAAUGUGUGGCAGCAAACCUGUCUCUGACCUUCUAGAGCCGCAAGGUCAUUUCACACGUUUUUGUGGUGUAGUUCACCUCUGAAUGUCGUGCUCUCAGGGGUGAUCUAUGCUAGCAGUUAGUUUGGUGUGCACUUCCCUACCACUUGAGGACUGUAUCCAAGCACAGGCAAAUGUUUGGAAAGGGCACACAAACGUGGACGAAUGUUUGGCAAGUGUACCCAAACACUGGCAAGAAUGAAGAACAAGAAUGCUCUGAUGAUAUUCCCUGAAGAGAGCCCGCUCCAGCACCUGUGAGCACUUGCUAUAGGCACACUUUCUAGAGAUGAUAAACUUAACAGUGUUGGAGAGUGUGCACAGUAAGGAAUGGGUUCUGUAUUCAACAACUACAGCUUUGAAGCUUCUUAAGGCUCAGUUUUUUGUACAAGAGUAGUCUCUAAUAUGUGCUUUUUUCCAUUCUACAAAACAUAGAUUUUCCUUUAAAAAGUUAUAUCUGAUAGUUUAAAUGAAAUACAUUUUCCUCUAUUAAUCCUGAGCAAGAAAAAGAGUAACCAUGCAUCAUUUAACUCCUAUCUCAGGAAUUAAAACUACUACUGAUGAAAAAAAUGCGA
Long non-coding RNA from Cygnus olor (mute swan), 2041 nucleotides. RefSeq lists it as uncharacterized. The record is from RefSeq and is a predicted model, not a curated record. The transcript is spliced from 4 exons. NCBI's taxonomy places the organism in Eukaryota, Metazoa, Chordata, Aves, Anseriformes, Anatidae.